CACUGAUGUCUCAAGUUUUCUAGAAUGUAGAGUCACAAGAAAACAUGCAAAUAAUUUAACCUAUAAUUGGUAUCAAAUAAAAAUUGCACUGGAUAGAGUUAAGCUAACCUGGAAGACUGUCUUCAAGACAAUAGGGGGAGAAAUAGACAGCAGUUAUAGGAAACAGAAGGAGAAGGGAUUUAAGAACUAGAGUGAAUGAACCAAGGGAAAUAUACCAGAGGACAUUAGAGCACUAGUUGAUCCAAGUGAUUAGGUGUUUGCUAAUUGAUAUUUAUUAAUGUUUUGACUCCCAUCUUCCCAGAGAGACUGGAAAAUAGAGAAGCUCUCUCCUUUAGUGCUUACAUUUCAAAGGGUUAACUCCCAAGCCCUUGAGAAGGAUGUUACCAGAUUGCAUAACUGGCAAGAGUCUUGGAAAAUAUUUAUUUACAUUUAUACUGGGCAGAGACAGAUUUUGCAACUCCAAAUUUCUCAAGUAGAUGCUCUAAGAAAAGGAAUGUUAUGGCCUACAGUCAAGAAGAAUUUUCUAAAGUUCAGGAAACCUAAAGGGAGUUUUCAGGCCAUCUUGGUCAGUUCUAUAUAUGGUGGAAGAGUUCCAGCCUGUUACAGGGAUGCAGGGUUCCGAGGGCCAGGAGCUGGCUGCACAGUAGCAAUUUUCCCACUUUUCUCUCUUCCAAAAGCAGAUAAUUUCCAAUCACAUCUGUUUUGCAUAUAGAAGUUCUUAUAAACUUUCUUUUAAGAAAAUUUUUCCUUGCUAAGAAAAAUUUGGAGACCAC
RNAcentral lists this long non-coding RNA (773 nucleotides) under Marmota monax (woodchuck). Lineage: Eukaryota; Metazoa; Chordata; Mammalia; Rodentia; Sciuridae. The record is from RNAcentral.